RNAcentral lists this ribosomal RNA (446 nucleotides) under uncultured bacterium. Its description in RNAcentral is "bacterial SSU rRNA". It matches the Rfam family "Bacterial small subunit ribosomal RNA", at positions 330 to 793 of the family's 1533-position model. The record is from RNAcentral.
ACCAGACUCCUACGGGAGGCAGCAGUGGGGAAUAUUGCACAAUGGGGGAAACCCUGAUGCAGCGACGCCGCGUGAGUGAGGAAGUAUUUCGGUAUGUAAAGCUCUAUCAGCAGGGAAGAAAAUGACGGUACCUGACUAAGAAGCCCCGGCUAACUACGUGCCAGCAGCCGCGGUAAUACGUAGGGGGCAAGCGUUAUCCGGAUUUACUGGGUGUAAAGGGAGCGUAGACGGCUAGUCAAGUCAGAAGUGAAAGCCCAGGGCUCAACCUUGGGACUGCUUUUGAAACUGAGUAGCUAGAGUGCAGGAGAGGUAAGCGGAAUUCCUAGUGUAGCGGUGAAAUGCGUAGAUAUUAGGAGGAACACCGGUGGCGAAGGCGGCCUGCUGGACUGCAACUGACGUUGAGGCCCGAAAGCGUGGGGAGCAAACAGGAUUGGAUACCCUGGUAC